UGUAAUUUAUUUUAUGAAGAUUUCUGAUUUUUGAUUUCAGAGGAAAAAGUUUAAUUCUUUUAAUUACAG
Molecule: transfer RNA, 69 nt
Filed under: Cyphonia clavata
Lineage: Eukaryota; Metazoa; Arthropoda; Insecta; Hemiptera; Membracidae
Description: tRNA-Gln
Source: RNAcentral